CCUACGGGAGGCAGCAGUGAGGACUAUUGGUCAAUGGACGAGAGUCUGAACCAGCCAAGUAGCGUGAAGGAUGACUGCCCUAUGGGUUGUAAACUUCUUUUAUAAAGGAAUAAAACGAGGCACGUGUGCCUUUUUGCAUGUACUUUAUGAAUAAGGAUCGGCUAACUCCGUGCCAGCAGCCGCGGUAAUACGGAGGAUCCGAGCGUUAUCCGGAUUUAUUGGGUUUAAAGGGAGCGUAGAUGGGAUGGUAAGUCAGUUGUGAAAGUUUGCGGCUCAACCGUAAAAUUGCAGUUGAUACUGGCUGUCUUGAGUACAGGUGAGGUAGGCGGAAUUCGUGGUGUAGCGGUGAAAUGCUUAGAUAUCACGAAGAACCCCGAUUGCGAAGGCAGCUUACUAAACUGUGACUGACAUUGAUGCUCGAAAGUGUGGGUAUCAAACAGGAUUAGAUACCCUGGUAGUC
RNAcentral lists this ribosomal RNA (460 nucleotides) under uncultured bacterium. Its description in RNAcentral is "partial 16S ribosomal RNA". It matches the Rfam family "Bacterial small subunit ribosomal RNA", at positions 338 to 795 of the family's 1533-position model. The record is from RNAcentral.